GGCAAGGGCACUCUGUGUUACAUUGAUUUUUUACAAGUAAAACAAUUUGUAACCUUGCUAUAAUAAAAUUGCAUUUUUAGCUUCUACUUUAUUGCUUAAUUAAUAAGUUUUGAAGUUUUAACAGAAAUGUAGACAUUAU
This is a small nucleolar RNA of Calliphora vicina (urban bluebottle blowfly), 139 nucleotides long. RefSeq annotates it as small nucleolar RNA psi18S-841/snoR66. The record is from RefSeq and is a predicted model, not a curated record. Lineage: Eukaryota; Metazoa; Arthropoda; Insecta; Diptera; Calliphoridae. The transcript has a single exon.